RNAcentral lists this unclassified non-coding RNA (299 nucleotides) under uncultured fungus. Its description in RNAcentral is "partial contains 5.8S ribosomal RNA, internal transcribed spacer 2, and large subunit ribosomal RNA". The stretch from base 1 to 52 matches the Rfam family "5.8S ribosomal RNA", at positions 103 to 154 of the family's 154-position model. Lineage: Eukaryota; Fungi. The record is from RNAcentral.
AACGCACCUUGCGCUCCUUGGUAUUCCGAGGAGCAUGCCUGUUUGAGUGUCAUGAAAUCUUCAAUCUACAAACUUCUUAUGGGGCUUGUAGGCUUGGACUUGGAGGCUUGUCGGUCCCUUUACAAGGUCGGCUCCUCUUAAAUGCAUUAGCUUGGUUCCUUGCGGAUCGGCUUGUCGGUGUGAUAAUGUCUACGCCGCGACCGUGAAGCGUGUUUGGGCGAGCUUCUAAUCGUCUCGUUACAGAGACAACCUUUAUGACCUCUGACCUCAAAUCAGGUAGGACUACCCGCUGAACUUAA